This is a long non-coding RNA of Cyprinus carpio (common carp), 1467 nucleotides long. RefSeq lists it as uncharacterized. NCBI's taxonomy places the organism in Eukaryota, Metazoa, Chordata, Actinopteri, Cypriniformes, Cyprinidae. The record is from RefSeq and is a predicted model, not a curated record. The transcript is spliced from 2 exons.
AAAUAUAACAUGUUUAUUUAAUGAUUGUAGGCCUUUGGUGAUCGCUGUCAUGUGAGCUCUGUGGUGGGCUGGGGUGCAUUUCCCAUCUGUGUUUGCUCCCACCAACUCUCAGUGGCACGUUCAAGACCCCUCUCUUGCGUGGCAGACCGAACCCCUCACUCAACUAGUUCUGCAAGAUUGUGCAAAUAAAUACAACUGGCUAUGGCUACCUCUACUUCCAGGUGAAAAGACUCCCGCGAGGCAGCACCAGGGUGCCUGAGUGUAGCUUCACCCUUCAGAUCCCUUCUCACCCUCAAGUAAGUUCCAGCCAGAGGCUUCCUCCCCACCCGGACACCUCCACACGCUCAUCUGCUUCUCUGGCAGGUAGGACUUCUGCACCCACCUCACCCCAAACAGGAAGAAAUGCCAGUGAUUUCUUGGCAGCUGCCUGUUAGAAUCUGGUGGGGCAUUCAUGCAGGGAAAAUGAACCUUCCCCAUUCAAACUAAAGCAUGUCCAAUUUGUGCAGCACAAUACGUGCCAUUUAGGCCAAAUUGUUUUCACUGUAAACGAAGCUCACUAACAUAAAACGCUCAGCUUUAUACAUGAUUGACAAUUCUCACUGAAUGCUAUCAUCAUCAUCAUCCAUAGCUGCGUUAGCAAAUGGUAUAUAUUUCCUCUAAUCAAAACUCUCACCCAGAAGCCAGCUCACAUUGUUGUGUUGAACCAUGAGCAAUCAACAUAAGCGGGAUGGGGUCAUAGCGAGAUCACUAAAAGGGCUCAUUCACUUGUGUGUGUCUCCAUUAGUUUAUUGAUUUUUUUUCUAGUGCGUUCAUCGUUUGCCAGUUGUUUGGGAAAUAGCAUAUGAGUCUGGAAACGGAACACAUAGAGAUUAAAGCUUUCAAAACACGUGGCAUGUGUUUGUGUACUGAACACUGUACUGAAGAUCUUCAUAGUCACAUUGAAACAAAUGAAGCAAGUUAGGCAUUGUUUGCAUAUUACGUCACUUGGGCUCCUUUGUUGUGUUGUCUGCCUAUUGUCUUUAAAUGAUGCCAUCUUUGUUGGCUUAUUUUGUUUAUAAAUGAUUUAGACAGCAUGUAUAUGCCUCAUUCUUUUGAUGGUGUUUCAAUACUUUGGUCAUAAGCUCCCACAUUUUCAAACAACUUGAAGCAUUAAACUUUUUUUUGCUUUAGCCAUAUUACAUCUUAAAUUGUGUGACUUGAGGAGAGUCAUGCAUUUACUUUAAUAAGCAUUUAGAUGAAGGUGGUCUCUGAACCUUAUUUAGAAAUCUAGACACAAGAAGGACUCUUCAAUGGCCUAGCAACCACCCAGAACACCUUAGCAAUUACAAACAAUCUCUCUAAAACCACUCAGAAGAAAAUUAACAAAUGCAAAGUAAGCCACUGAAAACCACUCAGAAUUCUGAGAUAGUAAGGAAUUUAGGAAUGUCCUGGCAGCCACCUACAACACUUUGGAAACUGCAUAGGGAG